AUGAGUUUGCCACACAGGAGUACAGUGCUCCCUGUGCCACAGUCAAGGCUGAACAGGGAAAUUCCUGAAGAAUGCAUCUUAUCUGAGCCUUGCUGUAUCACCUCAUAUGUCUCUGACCCUAGAAGAUCUUCUUGCUGAGGGUGGGGUAUUGAAACAUUAGAGGAGGACACCUCAAAACCAAAAAGGAAGUAACACUAUAAAUAAAUUAAGUUUUGAUUCUCAUCA
This is a long non-coding RNA of Neopelma chrysocephalum (saffron-crested tyrant-manakin), 225 nucleotides long. RefSeq lists it as uncharacterized. NCBI's taxonomy places the organism in Eukaryota, Metazoa, Chordata, Aves, Passeriformes, Pipridae. The record is from RefSeq and is a predicted model, not a curated record. The transcript has 2 exons.